CCUACGGGUGGCAGCAGUGGGGAAUAUUGCGCAAUGGGCGAAAGCCUGACGCAGCGACGCCGCGUGAGGGAUGAAGGUUUUCGGAUCGUAAAACUCUUUCAGACGGGAAGAAGUUGCAUGGGGCCAUUCACCUGUGCAUUGACGGUACCUUCAAAGGAAGCACCGGCUAACUCCGUGCCAGCAGCCGAGGUAAUACGGAGGGUGCGAGCGUUAAUCGGAAUUACUGGGCGUAAAGCGCACGGAGGGUGUAUGUCAAGGCCAGGGUGAAAUCCCACGGCUCAACCGGGGAACUGCCUUUGAAACUGGCAGACUGGAGUAGGAGAGAGGGAGGCGGAAUUCGUGGUGUAGGGGUGAAAUGCAUAGAUAUCAGGAGGAACAUCAGUGGCGAAGGCGGCCGCCUGGCACAACACUGACGCUGAGGUGCGAAAGCGUGGGUAGCAAACAGGAUUAGAUACCCGAGUAGUC
RNAcentral lists this ribosomal RNA (465 nucleotides) under uncultured bacterium. RNAcentral's name for it is "partial 16S ribosomal RNA". It matches the Rfam family "Bacterial small subunit ribosomal RNA", at positions 338 to 795 of the family's 1533-position model. The record is from RNAcentral.